Molecule: ribosomal RNA, 253 nt
Filed under: uncultured bacterium
Lineage: Bacteria
Description: partial 16S ribosomal RNA
Rfam family: Bacterial small subunit ribosomal RNA
Source: RNAcentral
UACAGAGGGUGCAAACGUUGCUCGGAAUUAUUGGGCGUAAAGCGCGCGUAGGCGGUUACUCAAGUCGGAUGUGAAAGCCCUCGGCUUAACUGAGGAAGUGCACCCGAAACUGAGUAGCUAGAGUACUAAAGAGGGUCGCGGAAUUCCCGGUGUAGAGGUGAAAUUCGUAGAUAUCGGGAGGAACACCGGUGGCGAAGGCGGCGACCUGGGUAGAUACUGACGCUGAGGCGCGAAAGCGUGGGGAGCAAACAGG